Molecule: transfer RNA, 85 nt
Filed under: Amplisiphonia pacifica
Lineage: Eukaryota; Rhodophyta; Florideophyceae; Ceramiales; Rhodomelaceae
Description: tRNA-Tyr
Rfam family: tRNA
About the family: Transfer RNA (tRNA) molecules are approximately 80 nucleotides in length. Their secondary structure includes four short double-helical elements and three loops (D, anti-codon, and T loops).
Source: RNAcentral
GAGAAGAUGGCUGAGAGGUUGAAAGCGGUAGACUGUAAAUCUAUUUUUCUAUUGAAAUUCAUAGGUUCAAAUCCUAUUCUUCUUC